CACGUAGGCGGCUUUUUAAGUCAGGGGUGAAAUCCUGGAGCUCAACUCCAGAACUGCCUUUGAUACUGAGAGGCUUGAGUCCGGGAGAGGUGAGUGGAACUGCGAGUGUAGAGGUGAAAUUCGUAGAUAUUCGCAAGAACACCAGUGGCGAAGGCGGCUCACUGGCCCGGUACUGACGCUGAGGUGCGAAAGCUGGGAGCAAACA
This 205-nucleotide ribosomal RNA is filed under the name uncultured bacterium. RNAcentral describes it as "partial 16S ribosomal RNA". It matches the Rfam family "Bacterial small subunit ribosomal RNA", at positions 568 to 774 of the family's 1533-position model. The record is from RNAcentral.